UACAGAGGUCUCAAGCGUUGUUCGGAUUCAUUGGGCGUAAAGAGCGUGUAGGCGGCCAGACAGGUCAGCUGUGAAAACUCGAGGCUCAACCUCGAGACGUCGGUUGAAACCGUCUGGCUAGAGUCCGGAAGAGGAGAGUGGAAUUCCCGGUGUAGCGGUGAAAUGCGCAGAUAUCGGGAAGAACACCCGUGGCGAAGGCGGCUCUCUGGGACGGUACUGACGCUGAGACGCGAAAGCGUGGGGAGCGAACAGG
This 253-nucleotide ribosomal RNA is filed under the name uncultured bacterium. RNAcentral describes it as "partial 16S ribosomal RNA". It matches the Rfam family "Bacterial small subunit ribosomal RNA", at positions 524 to 776 of the family's 1533-position model. The record is from RNAcentral.